Molecule: long non-coding RNA, 617 nt
Organism: Neofelis nebulosa (Clouded leopard)
Lineage: Eukaryota; Metazoa; Chordata; Mammalia; Carnivora; Felidae
Exons: 3
Source: RefSeq, a predicted model, not a curated record
CGGUGCUGAUCUCUCAUUUUACACCUAGGACACAGGUUUAGAGAGGUCUUCUGACUUGCUCACAGCUAUGCAGCUAGUUCGGGACCUCAUUUUCUCUUUCCUUUUGGCAGAAGUUUAAUUCUGUUUGGUUGAAACUGUGGGGACCCUGAGGAAUUUGGUAGGAGCUGUUGACUCUACCUUCUGGAUCCUGCCAGAGCCACAGGAUGCUGUGAAUGUGCACGGCUUGGAACGUUCCCACCUUCCGUUAGGGGCUCAGAUCCAGAGGAGUGACUCACGCUUCUCAGAUGUAGGAACAGAAAUGUUGUGGCUGCACUGAAAGGUAUGCGGAAGGAAAUCAGCAGACGCCUGAACUUCAGCCAGGGGGACGAGCAAGGAUGACCGCACAGGCCCCAGUGCAGCAGGAGCAGGGAGCCCCUCCUCUGCCCUUCUGGAAGAGGCCGAGGCAUCCAGCUUGGGUUCAAAUCCCAACUCUGCCUCCUGGAUGCUGGGGACAUUGGGCAAGUCACUUGGCUUGUCUGAUCCUUUCUUUUCUCAUCCUUUAAAUGAGGAUAAUAUCUCUCUUGCAAGUUGUUGUAAAGAUUGUGAUAUUUUAUAUAAACAUAAGUAUACAUAUAUAU